RNAcentral lists this non-coding RNA (26 nucleotides) under Rattus norvegicus (Norway rat). Lineage: Eukaryota; Metazoa; Chordata; Mammalia; Rodentia; Muridae. The record is from RNAcentral.
UGUGAAGUUAGCUGUAGCAGAAUCCA